RNAcentral lists this transfer RNA (86 nucleotides) under Trichobilharzia regenti. RNAcentral's name for it is "Selenocysteine transfer RNA". It matches the Rfam family "Selenocysteine transfer RNA". The record is from Rfam by way of RNAcentral. Lineage: Eukaryota; Metazoa; Platyhelminthes; Trematoda; Strigeidida; Schistosomatidae.
GUCGAGAUCACCCUCUUUGGUCCGGGGUGCAGGCUUCAAACCUGUAGCCGAUUAGGAUCGGAGCGGUUCGAUUCCGCCUUCUCGGC